RNAcentral lists this unclassified non-coding RNA (354 nucleotides) under Basidiomycota sp. Its description in RNAcentral is "partial contains small subunit ribosomal RNA, internal transcribed spacer 1, and 5.8S ribosomal RNA". The stretch from base 1 to 47 matches the Rfam family "Eukaryotic small subunit ribosomal RNA", at positions 1785 to 1831 of the family's 1831-position model. Lineage: Eukaryota; Fungi; Basidiomycota. The record is from RNAcentral.
AAAGUCGUAACAAGGUUUCCGUAGGUGAACCUGCGGAAGGAUCAUUAUUGAAUAAAUAUAAUUUGGGAGGUUGUAGCUGGCUCUCUAUUGGGGAGCAAUGUGCACACCUUUCAAACUAUUUAUCUCCAACCCACCUGUGCACUUCUUGUAGAUGCUGGAUAAAAAACAACCAACUCCUUUGGAUUGAUUGUUAUUUUUUUGAGGGUUUGCUGUCAAGGCUGCCUUUGCUUGUUCAGUGUCUAUGUAUUUUAUAAUAUACCCUACUUUUUAGUCUUUGAAUGUGUUAUCAAAAGGCAGCAAUGCCCUUUUGUUAUAAUAUUAAUACAACUUUCAACAACGGAUCUCUUGGCUCUC